CACGUAAAGAACCUGUCCUUUAGCGGGGGAUAGCCCUGGGAAACUGGGGGUAAUACCGCAUAAGCCAGUUAGAGCGCAUGCUCCUGCUGGGGAAGGGGUGCGAAAGCAUCUCACUGAAGGAGGGCUUUGCGGCCUAUCAGGUAGUUGGUGGGGUAAAGGCCUACCAAGCCAAUGACGGGUAGCUGGUCUGAGAGGAUGGUCAGCCACACUGGGACUGAGAUACGGCCCAG
RNAcentral lists this ribosomal RNA (230 nucleotides) under uncultured bacterium. Its description in RNAcentral is "partial 16S ribosomal RNA". It matches the Rfam family "Bacterial small subunit ribosomal RNA", at positions 114 to 334 of the family's 1533-position model. The record is from RNAcentral.